Molecule: ribosomal RNA, 253 nt
Filed under: uncultured bacterium
Lineage: Bacteria
Description: partial 16S ribosomal RNA
Rfam family: Bacterial small subunit ribosomal RNA
Source: RNAcentral
AACGUAGGAGACAAACGUUAUCCGGAGUUACUGGGCGUAAAGGGCGUGUAGGUGGUUGAGUAAGUCUGGCGUGAAAUUUUUCGGCUUAACCGGGAAAGGUCGUCGGAUACUGCUUAACUAGAGGACGGUAGAGGCGUGUGGAAUUCCGGGUGUAGUGGUGAAAUGCGUAGAGAUCCGGAGGAACACCAGUGGCGAAGGCGACACGCUGGGCCGUACCUGACACUGAUGCGCGACAGCAUGGGGAGCAAACAGG